ACAAAAAUGGCAAUUUCUCUUAUCUAUUGAUGGGUAACGAGCUGUCUCAACAUUUGGUGGCUUAAAACAGCCAUUUUAUUUUGCGCAUGGUUUUGUGGGACAGGAAUUCAGGAAGGGCUCAGUGGGUAAUUUCUGUUUGAUUCACUUGGGGUCCACUAGGGCAACAGGAUCCACUUCCAAGAUGGCGUCUUCACUCACAUAUCUGGAACCUCGGUGCUCCUUGUCCUUCACGCUCCAUUUGGUGCCUUAUUUUCCAGGCCCUCUUCCCUCAGGUAGCCUGGGCUUUCUCACAGCAUGGUGGCAUCAGGGUUGUAGGAUUUCUUACAAGGCACUGACUUGUAGAAAGUUUUCAGGAGCUCCGAAUGAGGAGAUUCAAGGGCUCUGACGACCAACCGUCGGCUGUCCCAGUACGUCACUUCUUCCACAUUCUAAUGGUCAGAGUAGUCACUAAGGCCAGUCCAGGUUCGCGGAAGGAAAAUUAGAUUCCACGUCUCUAUGGGAGGACUAGCCACACUAAGCCACUGCGCUGGUUUAGAACUGUCUGAAGUCCCUCCUAGAGGUCGUGUGUUUGAUUCUGCAUCUCCGUGAUUUGUGAAUCUUGCAUCAUUUAAAUUCAGCCUUACACACUGAUGCCUUUGGUGCCGUCCCAAUAUUUAGGCCAGGAGUGCAAAUUUAGAUAUUGGAGCUGCUCAGGCAGAAAAAUGGCCCUGGAAUCAGGGAAGCAGAAACCUGCAGCUGCCACGAAAGGACCGCGGAGAUGAAGACCCGGAAGCUUGCAUGUGUUGAAGCCCGGGGUGUGGGGGACUGUGGUCACGUACUCGAGGGGGCUUCAGAGACCUCUGGGAAGCCCUUUCUGCCCACUCGAAGCCUGCCCCUGUGCCUGACAAUCUUCCAUCGGGAGCGAUGUCAUAAAGAAGAAAUGGAAUUCAGUGGGAAGAGUGGUGGACUCGGGGACAAAAGAUCUGGGUUUGCGCCCUGGCUCUGACCUAACUCACCAGCAUUAUUGGAGGCACGUUAGGUAGGUGCUUGUCAGAGUCCUGCGUUCUAGGUGCUUUACAGGUGUCCACUUACUGGAUCUUCAUAACACACCUAUGAAGCAGGGAGUGUCAUCUCUAUUUCACAGCUGAAGAAUCUGAAGCUAAGUGUCAUGUUUGUGUGUGGAGUGAGAGAGGGACGCCGAGAGAGGGAGAGUGAGAGGGAGAGAGGGAGAGUGAGAAGGAGAGAGAGAGAGGGAGAGGGAGAGAGAGAGAGUGAGAGGGAGACAGAGAGAGAGGGGGUGGGGCAGUGGAUAGGGGGAGGGAGGAGGAGAGGAG
This 1313-nucleotide long non-coding RNA is filed under the name Homo sapiens (human). Its description in RNAcentral is "non-protein coding lnc-SDSL-5:2". Lineage: Eukaryota; Metazoa; Chordata; Mammalia; Primates; Hominidae. The record is from RNAcentral.